RNAcentral lists this ribosomal RNA (253 nucleotides) under uncultured bacterium. Its description in RNAcentral is "partial 16S ribosomal RNA". It matches the Rfam family "Bacterial small subunit ribosomal RNA", at positions 524 to 776 of the family's 1533-position model. The record is from RNAcentral.
UACAGAGGUCCCAAGCGUUGUUCGGAUUCAUUGGGCGUAAAGGGUGCGUAGGCGGCGCGGUAAGUCGGAUGUGAAAUCUCGGAGCUUAACUUCGAAACUGCAUUCGAUACUGCCGUGCUUGAGGACUGGAGAGGAGACUGGAAUUUACGGUGUAGCGGUGAAAUGCGUAGAUAUCGUAAGGAAGACCAGUGGCGAAGGCGGGUCUCUGGACAGUUCCUGACGCUGAGGCACGAAGGCCAGGGGAGCAAACGGG